AUGAAGAACGCAGCGAAAUGCGAUAAGUAAUGUGAAUUGCAGAAUUCAGUGAAUCAUCGAAUCUUUGAACGCACAUUGCGCCCGCCAGUAUUCCGGCGGGCAUGCCUGUCUGAGCGUCAUUUCAACCCUCAUGCCCCUAGGGCGUGGUGUUGGGGAUCGGCCAAAGCCCGCGAGGGACGGCCGGCCCCUAAAUCUAGUGGCGGACCCGUCGUGGCCUCCUCUGCGAAGUAGUGAUAUUCCGCAUCGGAGAGCGAUGAGCCCCUGCCGUUAAACCCCCAACUUUCCAAGGUUGACCUCAGAUCAGGUAGGAAUACCCGCUGAACUUAAGCAUAUCAAUAAGCGGAGGA
Molecule: unclassified non-coding RNA, 347 nt
Filed under: soil metagenome
Description: partial contains 5.8S ribosomal RNA, internal transcribed spacer 2, and large subunit ribosomal RNA
Rfam family: 5.8S ribosomal RNA (bases 1-119)
Source: RNAcentral